Amphiprion ocellaris (clown anemonefish) is the source of this 1098-nucleotide long non-coding RNA. RefSeq lists it as uncharacterized. The record is from RefSeq and is a predicted model, not a curated record. Lineage: Eukaryota; Metazoa; Chordata; Actinopteri; Pomacentridae. The transcript is spliced from 2 exons.
GCAGAAAACACACAUAAUAAACAAAGUGUUACCUAGACUAAUUCAGGUUGCUAGGUGACCAGUUUCUUUACACUGCUCUGUAGGGUUGCCACCCGUCCCUUAAAAUACGGAAACGUCCUUUAUUUGACAAUUAAUUGUUGCGUCCCGUAUUGAAUCAAUACGGGACGCAAGUUGUUCCGUAUUUUCAUAAAUGCCCCGUACACGUCUGUCACACACUCAUCAAAACUGCAUAAUGAAUAAAAUAAAACACAGGAAAUAUUAAGGGCAGCCAUUUUCCUCUUCGUAGGACCCAUGUAGCGAGGACCCGAUGCCAGGUCCAGUGGACAGACUUCAGACGUCUCCGUGUGUCCCGUCCUGUCCGGUCCUGUCUCUGGUUGCCUGGUUACAGACGCUGCUGCACCCGCAUGUUUAAAAAUGUCUACACCUGAAACUCCACCACGUUCAAAGAAGCAAAAACGUUUGCAAAUGUACAGACUGGAGUGGGAAGAGUGGAACCCCUGGCAAUGGAUACAAGGCAAACUGUGUUUUCUGUUGCUCAUGGACUGGCUGAAGUAAGGCAGCAUCAGGAGACAAACAUGGAGGAAAUAUGAGAACAGAAAGAACCCAACCAGCAGGUCACAGUUUAUCAUCAUCUAAUCAUCUCCUGAAGUCGACAUGGUCCCUCUCUAUCUCCCCACACAUCCACCAACCACUGGAACACAUCUCCAAAGUUCUGCUGGGCCAGCUCAGCUUCCCCUCAGAAGAAGUGCUGCCACCUGCCAGAUGAAGGAGCCUUUUGAGAGGCAGCUGGCAUCAUGAUUGGACUGUACUUUGGUCUGUUCCAAUCCAGCUUCAGCUCCAGAGACGGCAGGCGGGACGAGUCAACGGAGGCCUGGUGGACGAAGGCAUGCAGCUGAGUACAAUCCAGAAAACAACAGAGGAGGAGAAAACAAACGUAGUAGUAUAGUAGAAAAUAUACAUCGUAGAUUGUACAAAUAACAAGUCAAAGGAAAGAGACAUACAUUGUAGAAUUGUAGUAAUUGUGGGCUGACUGAUUUACUGAUUAUCAGUAUUUUAUUUUUUACUGAUUUACGGUAAUAAAUACAUUUAAAAAUGGUA